RNAcentral lists this long non-coding RNA (975 nucleotides) under Brassica rapa (field mustard). RNAcentral's name for it is "long non-coding RNA (BRAP_LNC007508)". The record is from RNAcentral. Lineage: Eukaryota; Viridiplantae; Streptophyta; Magnoliopsida; Brassicales; Brassicaceae.
UUAUCUUUUAAUUCAAGCACCGUCGCUUAAUUAGGAACAAUAAGCUACGUUGCUUAUCUCCUUCUCUCUCUCAUCUCUAUCUCAGUUCUCUCCCCACUUCCUGAAAUCAAUAGAUUCGAUCUCCAUGUUCCUUCUGAUCCCAUUUAUGUUUCUCGUGUAACCACAAGAAUGGAACACACUUUUAGUCCUAUCUUUUUUUCAAGUCUCUGUUUUUUUUUUUUUUUUUGGUAGUUGUGCCAUCUCUGAUUGUUUGCUUUUUGUUUAUGAUGGAAAUGCAGAUAACUUCUUGGGGUUUGAGGAGGUGGUCUUCUUAUUCCCUGGAGGAUGGCCGGAUUCUAACAAGUGAAUACUCUUCUUCUCUUCUCCUCUCUUGCCGUAUGUUUUGUGUAUUGAAUUGUCUCCUUUGAAGAACAUAAUAUUGGCAAAAGAAUCUUUAAAAAUUUUAAGCACCCUAAAAUAAGAGCCUUGCAAUGGAGGAGGAAAAAUGUCAAGUUGCUUAGCUAAGUCUCUUACCCAAAUUAUCUCCUUAAAUACUAUUAUUAUAUUAUUAAGCAACCCAUUAUGAGUUGGUAGGAUAAUGAUGCUCUUAGAAAUUGUUUGUUUUUUGUUUAUGAUGGAAAUGCAGAUAACUUCUUGGGGUUUGAGGAGGUGGUCUUCUUAUUCCCUCGAGGAUGGCCGGAUUCUAACAAGUGAAUACUCUUCUUCUCUUCUCCUCUCUUGCCGUAUGUUUUGUGUAUUGAAUUGUCUCCUUUGAAGAACAUAAUAUUGGCAAAAGAAUCUUUAAAAAUUUUAAGCACCCUAAAAUAAGAGCCUUGCAAUGGAGGAGGAAAAAUGUCAAGUUGUUUAGCUAAGUCUCUUACCCAAAUUAUCUCCUUAAAUACUAUUAUUAUAUUAUUAAGCAACCCAUUAUGAGUUGGUAAGAUAUCUUAAACUAUUAGCUCAGCUAAUAGGCCCUUAUGUACAGUCCCUGUUCGA